Molecule: ribosomal RNA, 253 nt
Filed under: uncultured bacterium
Lineage: Bacteria
Description: partial 16S ribosomal RNA
Rfam family: Bacterial small subunit ribosomal RNA
Source: RNAcentral
GACGGAGGAUGCAAGCGUUAUCCGGAAUGAUUGGGCGUAAAGCGUCCGCAGGUGGCCGUUCAAGUCUGCUGUCAAAGACCGGGGCUUAACUUCGGAAAGGCAGUGGAAACUGAACAGCUAGAGUAUGGUAGGGGCAGAGGGAAUUCCUGGUGUAGCGGUGAAAUGCGUAGAGAUCAGGAAGAACAUCGGUGGCGAAGGCGCUCUGCUGGACCAUAACUGACACUCAGGGACGAAAGCUAGGGGAGCGAAUGGG